This 404-nucleotide ribosomal RNA is filed under the name Actinomycetes bacterium. RNAcentral describes it as "Actinobacteria bacterium partial 16S ribosomal RNA". It matches the Rfam family "Bacterial small subunit ribosomal RNA", at positions 355 to 776 of the family's 1533-position model. Lineage: Bacteria; Bacillati; Actinomycetota; Actinomycetes. The record is from RNAcentral.
UGGGGAAUAUUGGACAAUGGGCGCAAGCCUGAUCCAGCCAUGCCGCGUGAGUGAUGAAGGCCCUAGGGUUGUAAAGCUCUUUCACCGGUGAAGAUAAUGACGGUAACCGGAGAAGAAGCCCCGGCUAACUUCGUGCCAGCAGCCGCGGUACUACGAAGGGGGCUAGCGUUGUUCGGAUUUACUGGGCGUAAAGCGCACGUAGGCGGACUAUUAAGUCAGGGGUGAAAUCCCGGGGCUCAACCCCGGAACUGCCUUUGAUACUGGUAGUCUUGAGUUCGAGAGAGGGGAGUGGAAUUCCGAGUGUAGAGGUGAAAUUCGUAGAUAUUCGGAGGAACACCAGUGGCGAAGGCGGCUCACUGGCUCGAUACUGACGCUGAGGUGCGAAAGCGUGGGGAGCAAACAGG